Molecule: RNA transcript, 2019 nt
Organism: Anopheles funestus (African malaria mosquito)
Lineage: Eukaryota; Metazoa; Arthropoda; Insecta; Diptera; Culicidae
Gene: Pop2
Gene name: CCR4-NOT transcription complex subunit 7
Exons: 5
Source: RefSeq, a predicted model, not a curated record
UGAGGAGGCUGUCAUGCUCGGCAUUUUUUUGCUUGCUAUGGUUGUGCAGCUGAAGCUAUCGCGUUUCAAUACCUAAACGUAGUUUUAAGCAGGUUUGCAUGGUGAUUGGCGAAACGUUUUAGUCAAAGUGAACAUACAGUCGACCCUUCGUUGUGUGAUGCUUUGGGCAAAGCGUAAAUGAACGGAGAAUCCAACGCAUUCAAAGUACAUCACCAUGCAUCGAGCCGUAGGAAAGAAACGCUCCGCGCAAAAUUGAACUAGGAGAGAAAACAUUCACCAUUAGCAUCUAAGUGCCGCACAGAAAGGCGCAUGGUUACUAGCAACUAGUGCACCAUAAGCAUCGUUUAGUAAAUUAAGUUACCGGAACAAAACAAAUCUGAGGCGGAAGACCAACAUACACCGACGUAAAGAUACAACGACGCAGAAAAUUGAACCAAGUGCAGGGAGCCACCUUUUGCCAUAGAUUCCUUUGAUAUAGCAAGGCUUUUCAAAGCCGCCGAGAUCGGAGCACCUGCAUUAAGCUGAAGAACUAAUAAAGGCAAUGCCAUCGGCAGUUAGUGGCGGAGGAGGUCACGGCGGCGGUGGUGGCGGUGGAGGCAACAUGAAUCCACAGACGAACGAGGAAUGUGGCAUCCGGGACGUUUGGCGACACAAUCUAGACGAAGAGUUUCGUACUAUACGGCUGAUCGUACAGAAGUACCAUUACGUAGCAAUGGAUACAGAAUUCCCUGGCGUGGUCGCACGGCCCGUAGGCGAAUUUCGGUCUUCGGCAGACUACCAGUACCAGAGCCUACGAUGUAACGUGGAUCUGUUGCGCAUCAUCCAGCUCGGUCUAACGUUCAUGGAUGACGAUGGGCGUACACCGGCCGGCUUCUCGACGUGGCAGUUUAACUUUAAAUUCAAUCUGAACGAGGAUAUGUACGCACAGGACUCAAUCGAUCUGCUGCUUAACUCGGGCAUACAGUUUAAAAAGCACGAAGAAGACGGUAUCGAUCCGCAGGACUUUGCCGAACUGCUCAUGACGUCCGGUAUCGUGUUGAUGGACAAUAUCAAAUGGUUGAGCUUUCACUCUGGCUACGACUUUGCCUACCUGUUGAAGCUGCUUACCGAUCAGAACCUGCCGGCGGAGGAGGGCGAUUUUUUCGAGCUGCUGCGGAUCUACUUCCCAACCAUCUAUGACGUAAAGUAUCUGAUGAAGUCGUGCAAAAAUCUCAAGGGCGGCUUGCAGGAGGUGGCCGACCAGCUGGAGCUCAGACGGGUCGGACCGCAGCAUCAGGCUGGAUCGGAUUCACUGCUCACCGGAAUGGCAUUCUUCAAAAUGCGAGAGAUGUUCUUUGAGGACAAUAUUGACAAUGCCAAGUAUUGUGGUCAUCUGUACGGUCUGGGGACACCGUUCGUCGCGAAUGGCAACAAUACGACGCCAGGCGUCGGCGGAAGCGGUGGUGGUGCCGGUGGUGGCACCGGCAGCAGUGGAGCAACUACUGGCACCGGUGGCACCGGUGGCGGUGUGACCUCGUCUGGAACCGGCAACACAGGCAACAGCAACACGGCCGGAGGAAACAGCGCCAGCAACAACAGCAAUAGUACGAAUUAAUUUCUACCCAUCCUUCCCGGUCUCGGUCACGGUUGGUUCGCUUUCGGGUGGAUUUGUGAUCGUUUGAUCUAUUCGUUAUCGUAAACCAGAGCGGUAGAACCAGACGAGAAAUGGACCACGUUACUAAUAGCACAACGGCAGUCAUGCAGCAGAGACAAGCAGGAAGCCAGAAGCAGUAGCGCCAGCAGUUUCCUUUCCAUCAUCCUGAUGGAGUGCUGACGGUUGGCCUGGAUCCGGAAAGCAAAUGUGGGGUAAUAUGUUGGCUUGCAACAAUGUAUAAAAAAACAACCAUCGAUUUAUUGUGUUGCGGACGAGCUAACGCUAAGAUCGAAAAAGUUUAUAACUAUGACCCAUGAAAAGUGAUUAUUUGUAAGAGUCGAAAUUGAGCAGGUGUAAUAAAAAUUUGAAAAAAUGACUUCGAAUUA